CAGCCGCCACGGGAAUACAGAGGAUGCAAGCGUUAUCCGGAAUGAUUGGGCGUAAAGCGCACGCAGGCGGUUUGUUAAGUCAGAUGUGAAAUCCCCGAGCUUAACUUGGGAACUGCAUUUGAAACUGGCAAGCUAGAGUCUUGUAGAGGGGGGUAGAAUUCCAGGUGUAGCGGUGAAAUGCGUAGAGAUCUGGAGGAAUACCGGUGGCGAAGGCGGCCCCCUGGACAAAGACUGACGCUCAGGUGCGAAAGCGUGGGGAGCAAACAGGAUUAGAUACCCCAGUAGUCCCUGUCUCUUAUAC
This 301-nucleotide ribosomal RNA is filed under the name uncultured bacterium. RNAcentral describes it as "partial 16S ribosomal RNA". It matches the Rfam family "Bacterial small subunit ribosomal RNA", at positions 509 to 807 of the family's 1533-position model. The record is from RNAcentral.